CUGGAAUGUCACAUCUGAAGAUAUGACCAGAAAGCUGAGGAACUAAGAUGAUCUCAAAAAAGCCAGCAGAAGCUCUUGGAAAGAUUGCCUGGAACUAUAAGCACUUCUGCCUGGCAGGAAAACAACAUGGAAAACCAAAUACUACUACUAAGGAAUUUUGAGGAAAAUUGAAUUGAAAGGAGGAGGGUGAUUAGUAUGACUUGACUGGCAUCAUGUUAGAAAAAGAGCCAUAUAAGAAAAGCUGGAUACGACACCGACAUGCCGAGUGGACUGUGCAGAUAGGCCACAGUGACUACCCCUCGGUCACAGCAUGGGCCAGCAGCAGAACUUGUGCCACCAGUGAAAACUCUCCGGACCCCAGUAAAGGCUUCA
This is a long non-coding RNA of Tupaia belangeri chinensis (Chinese tree shrew), 372 nucleotides long. RefSeq lists it as uncharacterized. The transcript has 3 exons. The record is from RefSeq and is a predicted model, not a curated record. NCBI's taxonomy places the organism in Eukaryota, Metazoa, Chordata, Mammalia, Scandentia, Tupaiidae.